This 314-nucleotide ribosomal RNA is filed under the name uncultured bacterium. RNAcentral's name for it is "partial 16S ribosomal RNA". It matches the Rfam family "Bacterial small subunit ribosomal RNA", at positions 495 to 807 of the family's 1533-position model. The record is from RNAcentral.
GGUAAAGAGACAGCAGCCGCCGCGGUAAUACGUAGGUGGCGAGCGUUGUCCGGAUUUAUUGGGCGUAAAGGGAGUGUAGGCGGUCUUUUAAGUCUGAUGUGAAAGCCCACGGCUCAACCGUGGAGGGUCAUUGGAAACUGGGAGACUUGAGUGCAGAAGAGGAGAGCGGAAUUCCAUGUGUAGCGGUGAAAUGCGUAGAUAUAUGGAGGAACACCAGUGGCGAAGGCGGCUCUCUGGUCUGUAACUGACGCUGAGGCUCGAAAGCGUGGGGAGCAAACAGGAUUAGAUACCCCAGUAGUCCCUGUCUCUUAUAC